GGAAUUGUUCGCAAUGGGCGCAAGCCUGACGACGCAACGCCGCGUGGAGGACGAAGACCUUCGGGUCGUAAACUCCUUUCGAUCGAGACGAAUGGUCUCCGGGUUAACAGCCCGGAGGAAUGACGGUACCGCGAGAAGAAGCCCCGGCUAACUCCGUGCCCGCAGCCGCGGUAAUACGGGGGGGGGCAAGCGUUGUUCGGAAUUACUGGGCGUAAAGGGCUCGUAGGUGGCCAACUAAGUCAGACGUGAAAUCCCUCGGCUUAACCGGGGAACUGCGUCUGAUACUGGAUGGCUGGAGUUUGGGAGAGGGAUGCGGAAUUCCAGGUGUAGCGGUGAAAUGCGUAGAUAUCUGGAGGAACACCGGUGGCGAAGGCGGCGUCCUGGACCAAUACUGACACUGAGGAGCGAAAGCCAGGGGAGCAA
This 423-nucleotide ribosomal RNA is filed under the name uncultured bacterium. RNAcentral's name for it is "bacterial SSU rRNA". It matches the Rfam family "Bacterial small subunit ribosomal RNA", at positions 358 to 771 of the family's 1533-position model. The record is from RNAcentral.